AUUGAACGCUGGCGGCAUGCCUAACACAUGCAAGUCGAGCGAGCGGCUGCCGGGUGAGUAAUGUAUGGGGACUGCCCGAUAGAGGGGGGUAACUACUGGAGACGGUAGCUAAUACCGCAUACUAUCAGAUAACCCAUAUGGGAGUAGCUAGUAGGUGAGGUAAUGGCUCACCUAGGCGACAAUGCCUAGCUGGUCUGAGAGGAUGAUCAGCCACAUUGGGACUGAGACACGGCCCAGACUCUUACGGAGGCAGCAGUGGGGAAUAUUGCACAAUGGGCGAAAGCCUGAUGGAGCCAUGCCGCGUGUGUGAAGAAGGUCGUCGGGUUGUAAAGUACUGUUAGUCGUGAGGCGGUAACGACAGAGGAAGCCACGGCUAACUCCGUGCCAGCAGCCGCGGUAAUAC
This 403-nucleotide ribosomal RNA is filed under the name uncultured bacterium. RNAcentral describes it as "partial 16S ribosomal RNA". It matches the Rfam family "Bacterial small subunit ribosomal RNA", at positions 30 to 526 of the family's 1533-position model. The record is from RNAcentral.